GACGAACGCUGGCGGCGUGCCUAAUACAUGCAAGUAGGACGCAGUUGCGAACGGGUGAGUAACGCGUAGGUAACUGCCUAUUAGAGGGGGAUAACUAUUGGAAACGAUAGCUAAUACCGCAUACUUGUAGAUGGAUCUGCGUUGUAUUAGCUAGUAGGUAGGGUAAUGGCCUAACUAGGCAACGAUACAUAGCCGACGUGAGAGGGUGGUCGGCCAAACAGGGACGUAGACACGGCCCAGACUCCUGCGGGCGGCAGCAGUAGGGAAUCUUAGGCAAUGGGGGAAACCCUGACCGAGCAACGCCGGGUGAGUGGAGAAGGUUUUCGGGUCGUAAAGCUCUGUUGUUUAGGAAGCGGUACUUAACCAAAAAGGGACGGCUAACUACGUGCCAGCAGCCGCGGUAAUUC
This 407-nucleotide ribosomal RNA is filed under the name uncultured bacterium. RNAcentral describes it as "partial 16S ribosomal RNA". It matches the Rfam family "Bacterial small subunit ribosomal RNA", at positions 28 to 526 of the family's 1533-position model. The record is from RNAcentral.